Molecule: long non-coding RNA, 449 nt
Organism: Cololabis saira (Pacific saury)
Lineage: Eukaryota; Metazoa; Chordata; Actinopteri; Beloniformes; Belonidae
Exons: 3
Source: RefSeq, a predicted model, not a curated record
CUCCGUUAUGAAAACACCGACAUCAACAAAAGUUUGUGUUUUAUAAUCUAGUUAUGUGUCGAGGUUGUGACGGGUUCGGCUGCAGACGCGCAGCUUUUCCUGCUUUUAUCUGGAGUUUGAGAAACUCAGGAAGGUUUUAGAUCCGCAGAGCCGACAGGUGAUAACACCUGUACUGACGUCACCAGCCUCACCUGUGCAGCUAGCGUGCUAACCGCCCCCCGAUGUCGGGGCUCCGGCGGUCCGUGUCCGAGGCCUGGUGGUCUCUCUGCGCCGCCGACUCCAUGUCCAUGCCGGUCCACUGGUACUACGACGUCAGCGACAUCCGUCGGGACUUCGGGGGCUGGAUCUCCGGGUUCAGAACUCCGGCAGACCGACACCCGUCCAGCAUCCUCAGCCUGUCCAACACCGCCGGUAGCGGUCGUACCUCCUGGUCGUCGGGGCCCAAACGC